UGUUUCUAUCAUAAGGGGGUGUUCCGU
RNAcentral lists this non-coding RNA (27 nucleotides) under Bombyx mori (domestic silkworm). Lineage: Eukaryota; Metazoa; Arthropoda; Insecta; Lepidoptera; Bombycidae. The record is from RNAcentral.